CGUUCUCGCGUUGUCCGUCUCUUUUAACUUCUACAUGCUCUACACACAAAAAAAGAGAGUCCUGAGAUGGUGCGCAAGGAGUGAAAGGAGCGCGGCAUUACGUUUUUCCGGAUCGCUGACAAGUAGCACAAGAAAGACGGGACACAGAAGAAGCAGAACGCAAAACGAGCGCUAACUUGCAACUAAAAGGUUUACUGAAAAAUUCUGCCAAGCAAACAUACCUAGUGCACACACACGUGGCACAAUGCCAUAGCUAUCUUGAUGAAUAACAACACAGCCCAUUCGGAAAAAAAAAAAAUAAAUAAAUAAACAACAACAAAGUUAUCUUCGUGAUUCAAGGUGG
Long non-coding RNA from Ixodes scapularis (black-legged tick), 343 nucleotides. RefSeq lists it as uncharacterized. The record is from RefSeq and is a predicted model, not a curated record. Lineage: Eukaryota; Metazoa; Arthropoda; Arachnida; Ixodida; Ixodidae. The transcript has 2 exons.